CCUACGGGUGGCAGCAGUGAGGAAUAUUGGUCAAUGGACGAGAGUCUGAACCAGCCAAGUAGCGUGAAGGAUGACUGCCCUAUGGGUUGUAAACUUCUUUUAUAUGGGAAUAAAAUGUUCCACGUGUGGGCUUUUGUAUGUACCAUAUGAAUAAGGAUCGGCUAACUCCGUGCCAGCAGCCGCGGUAAUACGGAGGAUCCGAGCGUUAUCCGGAUUUAUUGGGUUUAAAGGGAGCGUAGGUGGAUUGUUAAGUCAGUUGUGAAAGUUUGCGGCUCAACCGUAAAAUUGCAGUUGAAACUGGCAGUCUUGAGUACAGUAGAGGUGGGCGGAAUUCGUGGUGUAGCGGUGAAAUGCUUAGAUAUCACGAAGAACUCCGAUUGCGAAGGCAGCUCACUGGACUGCAACUGACACUGAGGCUCGAAAGUGUGGGGAGCAAACGGGAUUAGAUACCCUUGUAGUC
Molecule: ribosomal RNA, 460 nt
Filed under: uncultured bacterium
Lineage: Bacteria
Description: partial 16S ribosomal RNA
Rfam family: Bacterial small subunit ribosomal RNA
Source: RNAcentral